Molecule: ribosomal RNA, 848 nt
Filed under: uncultured bacterium
Lineage: Bacteria
Description: bacterial SSU rRNA
Rfam family: Bacterial small subunit ribosomal RNA
Source: RNAcentral
AGUUUGAUCCUGGCUCAGGAUGAACGCUAGCUACAGGCUUAACACAUGCAAGUCGAGGGGAAACGACAUCGAAAGCUUGCUUUUGAUGGGCGUCGACCGGCGCACGGGUGAGUAACGCGUAUCCAACCUGCCCACCACUUGGGGAUAACCUUGCGAAAGUAAGACUAAUACCCAAUGACGUCUCUAGAAGACAUCUGAAAGAGAUUAAAGAUUUAUCGGUGAUGGAUGGGGAUGCGUCUGAUUAGCUUGUUGGCGGGGUAACGGCCCACCAAGGCGACGAUCAGUAGGGGUUCUGAGAGGAAGGUCCCCCACAUUGGAACUGAGACACGGUCCAAACUCCUACGGGAGGCAGCAGUGAGGAAUAUUGGUCAAUGGACGAGAGUCUGAACCAGCCAAGUAGCGUGCAGGAUGACGGCCCUAUGGGUUGUAAACUGCUUUUAUAAGGGAAUAAAGUGAGUCUCGUGAGACUUUUUGCAUGUACCUUAUGAAUAAGGACCGGCUAAUUCCGUGCCAGCAGCCGCGGUAAUACGGAAGGUCCGGGCGUUAUCCGGAUUUAUUGGGUUUAAAGGGAGCGUAGGCCGGAGAUUAAGCGUGUUGUGAAAUGUAGACGCUCAACGUCUGCACUGCAGCGCGAACUGGUUUCCUUGAGUACGCACAAAGUGGGCGGAAUUCGUGGUGUAGCGGUGAAAUGCUUAGAUAUCACGAAGAACUCCGAUUGCGAAGGCAGCUCACUGGAGCGCAACUGACGCUGAAGCUCGAAAGUGCGGGUAUCGAACAGGAUUAGAUACCCUGGUAGUCCGCACGGUAAACGAUGGAUGCCCGCUGUUGGUCUGAAUAGGUCAGCGGCC